AACCAACAGGGAUUGCCUUAGUAACGGCGAGUGAAGCGGCAACAGCUCAAAUUUGAAAGCUGGCUCCUUUGGAGUCCGCGUUGUAAUUUGUAGAGGAUGAUUCGGCAAGGGCUCCCGCCUAAGUCUCCUGGAACGGAGCGUCAUAGAGGGUGAGAAUCCCGUAUGCGGUGGGCUGCCUAAGCCAUGUGAAUCUCCUUCGACGAGUCGAGUUGUUUGGGAAUGCAGCUCUAAAUGGGAGGUAAAUUUCUUCUAAAGCUAAAUACCGGCCAGAGACCGAUAGCGCACAAGUAGAGUGAUCGAAAGAUGAAAAGCACUUUGGAAAGAGAGUUAAAAAGUACGUGAAAUUGUUGAAAGGGAAGCGCUUGCAGCCAGACUUGUCCGCAGUUGCUCAGCCGGUCUCCUGACCGGUGUACUCUUCUGCGGCCAGGCCAGCAUCAGUUCGGGCGGUCGGAUAAAGACCUCGGGAAUGUAGCUCCUCUCGGGGAGUGUUAUAGCCCGGGGUGGAAUGCGGCCAGCCUGGACUGAGGAUCUCGCUUCGGCUAGGAUGCUGGCGUAAUGGCUGUAAGCGGCCCGUCUUGAAACACGGACCAAGGAGUCUAACAUCUAUGCGAGUGUUUGGGUGUCAAACCCAUGCGCGUAAUGAAAGUGAACGGAGGUGGGAACCCUCACGGGUGCACCAUCGACCGAUCCUGAUGUCUUCGGAUGGAUUUGAGUAAGAGCAUAGCUGUUGGGACCCGAAAGAUGGUGAACUAUGCCUGAAUAGGGUGAAGCCAGAGGAAACUCUGGUGGAGGCUCGCAGCGGUUCUGACGUGCAAAUCGAUCGUCAAAUUUGGGUAUAGGGGCGAAAGACUAAUCGA
RNAcentral lists this ribosomal RNA (857 nucleotides) under Botryosphaeria dothidea. RNAcentral describes it as "partial large subunit ribosomal RNA". It matches the Rfam family "Eukaryotic large subunit ribosomal RNA", at positions 63 to 938 of the family's 3401-position model. Lineage: Eukaryota; Fungi; Ascomycota; Dothideomycetes; Botryosphaeriales; Botryosphaeriaceae. The record is from RNAcentral.